RNAcentral lists this long non-coding RNA (506 nucleotides) under Rattus norvegicus (Norway rat). RNAcentral describes it as "long non-coding RNA NONRATT002324". Lineage: Eukaryota; Metazoa; Chordata; Mammalia; Rodentia; Muridae. The record is from RNAcentral.
CUGACAUUGAUGUGCAGCUCAGCUCUGAGCUAUCUGACUCACUCAGGAAACUGAAGCCAGAAGGUAACAUUCUCCGAGACAGGUUCAAAAGCUUCCAGAAGAGAAAUAUGAUUGAGCCCCGGGAACGAGCCAAGUUCAAGCGCAAAUACAAAGUGAAGCUGGUGGAGAAGCGGGCUUUCCGCGAGAUUCAGUAAGUGAGGCUCACUGGCAUGUGGCUGACUGUCAUUCUGAGAGCUGUGGUCUACCUUGCCCAACAUAGCCUUCCUCCCUUUUGAAAGCUGCCAGUGUCAGGCCCUUCCCAAACCCCAUGACUGGUCAACCAGUGGGGGCCCAGGAAUCUAUAGUUAGAGGUAAAGAGGGGAUGUAGUCUCAAAUCAGAAGGGGUAUUAAGUGAGAAAGGCUGUGGGAUGCACCCCUCCACUCAUCCAUCUCAGCUCUACUCUCUGUCCUCAGGUUGUAGCUGUGCAGAUGUUGGAGCCUCUGCCCCUCAAUAAAGUGCUGUGACC